AGUUUGAUAGACUAAAAAAGUCUUCGGGCUCAUAAUCUGAUAAUGAAAAUUAUUUUCUCAAACUA
Molecule: transfer RNA, 65 nt
Filed under: Pista cristata
Lineage: Eukaryota; Metazoa; Annelida; Polychaeta; Terebellida; Terebellidae
Description: tRNA-Met
Source: RNAcentral